Molecule: ribosomal RNA, 434 nt
Filed under: uncultured bacterium
Lineage: Bacteria
Description: partial 16S ribosomal RNA
Rfam family: Bacterial small subunit ribosomal RNA
Source: RNAcentral
AACGAACGCUGGCGGCAUGCCUAACACAUGCAAGUCGAACGAGACCUUCGGGUCUAGUGGCGCACGGGUGCGUAACGCGUGGGAACCUGCCCUUAGGUUCGGAAUAACUCCCCGAAAGGGGUGCUAAUACCGGAUAAUGUCUUCGGACCAAAGAUUUAUCGCCUUUGGAUGGGCCCGCGUUGGAUUAGCUAGUUGGUAGGGUAAAAGCCUACCAAGGCGACGAUCCAUAGCUGGUCUGAGAGGAUGAUCAGCCACACUGGGACUGAGACACGGCCCAGACCUCCGCGGGAGGGGGGAGGUGGGGAUAAUGGAAAAAGGGGGAAAAGCUGGACCCACCACGGCCGGGGGAGAGUGGAGGGCUUGGGGGUAAAAAAUCUUUUUCCCCGGGGAUAAUAAUGACAGGCCGGGAAAAAAAACCCCCGGCAACCCCCGGC